Mustela lutreola (European mink) is the source of this 502-nucleotide long non-coding RNA. RefSeq lists it as uncharacterized. The record is from RefSeq and is a predicted model, not a curated record. The transcript has 4 exons. NCBI's taxonomy places the organism in Eukaryota, Metazoa, Chordata, Mammalia, Carnivora, Mustelidae.
UUAAUAUGCGGAGGAACAUUUGGUACAAGGAGAUGGCCAAUUUCUUAGACCAGAUGAAGGAAGUACUUUCAGAAGAACCAAAAUAUAUAUAAAACAUACAGAAUUCUGAGAAGAGUAGAUUGUUAAACCCUAAUUAAAGAUAUUAAAUGAGGCCUCAUUCAAGUUGACCAGCUGCACCGCCAUCUGAGUAUAAGAAAAUCCAUCUAAGGUUGUUCCACAUCAUCACUUUCAUGUUUCCACAAUUACGUGAUAUUAUAUUGCAGAAGUCAUUUCUCUUCAGUUCCAUUCAUGUGGAAACCAAAUUAGAGCAAAAUGACUCCUGAAAAACCAUUCGGCAGUGGAUCAGUUGACUUUCCUUUACCUUCACACCAUCAAUCCACAGCAGAAACGUAGUCACAGUGUCCCAGGAAGGCUUCUGAAGACCAUAGAGAAGCCUGAAUCAGUAGAAGAAAGGAGACCAGGUCCCUGAGUGAUGACAAAAAGCAGAGUACUGGAGCGCCUG